GACUACUCGAGUUAUUGUGCUCAGAAUCGUUGCUUUUGAUAUUCUCGCCUAAAAUAAAACCAAACGGUCACUUAAAAGAAGGUUUAAACAAUUCGAGUUGUAAACAACUCUGGCGAAAACAAACGAAUCACCGUUUAACGGAAGUCCUAUGAUUACCGAUAUUAAGGAUGCUUGUACUUACCCGACAACAGCAACAACCAAAACGUGCAAAUACAAGCAACAAUUGGAUGAAGGAAAAGAAAAGAAAAAAAUAAAAAGAAAGGAACGAAAAAGGAAGAAGAAAAUGAAAGAAAUGGAUAGUAGCAGGAGAAGGAAAUGUUCAAUUUAAGUUAACC
This 335-nucleotide long non-coding RNA is filed under the name Gossypium raimondii (Peruvian cotton). Its description in RNAcentral is "long non-coding RNA (GRAI_LNC000401)". The record is from RNAcentral. Lineage: Eukaryota; Viridiplantae; Streptophyta; Magnoliopsida; Malvales; Malvaceae.